CCGUGCGGCAGCUACACAUGCAGUCGAGCGGCAGCGACUUAACUGAACCUUCGGGGAACGUUAAGGGCGGCGAGCGGCGGACGGGUGAGUAAUGCCUGGGAAUAUGCCCUGAUGUGGGGGAUAACUAUUGGAAACGAUAGCUAAUACCGCAUAAUCUCUUCGGAGCAAAGAGGGGGACCUUCGGGCCUCUCGCGUCAGGAUUAGCCCAGGUGGGAUUAGCUUGUUGGUGAGGUAAUGGCUCACCAAGGCAACGAUCCCUAGCUGGUCUGAGAGGAUGAUCAGCCACACUGGAACUGAGACACGGUCCAGACUCCUACGGGAGGCAGCAGUGGGGAAUAUUGCACAAUGGGGGAAACCCUGAUGCAGCCAUGCCGCGUGUGUGAAGAAGGCCUUCGGGUUGUAAAGCACUUUCAGUAGGGAGGAAGGUAGUGUAGUUAACACCUGCAUUAUUUGACGUUACCUACAGAAGAAGCACCGGCUAACUCCGUGCCAGCAGCCGCGGUAAUACGGAGGGUGCGAGCGUUAAUCGGAAUUACUGGGCGUAAAGCGCAUGCAGGCGGCCUGUUAAGUCAGAUGUGAAAGCCCGGGGCUUAACCUCGGAAUUGCAUUUGAAACUGGCAGGCUAGAGUCUUGUAGAGGGGGGUAGAAUUUCAGGUGUAGCGGUGAAAUGCGUAGAGAUCUGAAGGAAUACCAGUGGCGAAGGCGGCCCCCUGGACAAAGACUGACGCUCAGAUGCGAAAGCGUGGGGAGCAAACAGGAUUAGAUACCCUGGUAGUCCACGCCGUAAACGAUGUCUACUUGGAGGUUGUGGCCUUGAGCCGUGGCUUUCGGAGCUAACGCGUUAAGUAGACCGCCUGGGGAGUACGGUCGCAAGAUUAAAACUCAAAUGAAUUGACGGGGGCCCGCACAAGCGGUGGAGCAUGUGGUUUAAUUCGAUGCAACGCGAAGAACCCUUACCUACUCUUGACAUCCAGAGAAAGCUUGAAGAGAUUCGAGUGUGCCCUUCGGGAACUCUGAGACAGGUGCUGCAUGGCUGGUCGUCAGCUCGUGUGUGAAAUGUUGGGAUAGUCCCGCACGAGCGCAACCCUUAUCUGUUGCAGGCACUUUCGGAUGGUACUCAGGGAGACUGGCGGUGAUACCGAGAAGGUGGGGACGACGUCAAGUUCAUCAAUGGCUCCU
RNAcentral lists this ribosomal RNA (1179 nucleotides) under Photobacterium damselae subsp. damselae. RNAcentral describes it as "bacterial SSU rRNA". It matches the Rfam family "Bacterial small subunit ribosomal RNA", at positions 36 to 1203 of the family's 1533-position model. The record is from RNAcentral. Lineage: Bacteria; Pseudomonadati; Pseudomonadota; Gammaproteobacteria; Vibrionales; Vibrionaceae.